AGUGAACGCUGGCGGUAGGCCUAACACAUGCAAGUCGAACGGCAGCACAGUAAGAGCUUGCUCUUACGGGUGGCGAGUGGCGGACGGGUGAGGAAUACAUCGGAAUCUACUUUUUCGUGGGGGAUAACGUAGGGAAACUUACGCUAAUACCGCAUACUACCUACGGGUUAAAGCAGGGGAUCUUCGGACCUUGCGCGAUUGAAUGAGCCGAUGUCGGAUUAGCUAGUUGGCGGGGUAAAGGCCCACCAAGGCGACGAUCCGUAGCUGGUCUGAGAGGAUGAUCAGCCAAACUGGAACUGAGACACGGUCCAGACUCCUACGGGAGGCAGCAGUGGGGAAUAUUGGACAAUGGGCGAAAGCCUGAUCCAGCCAUACCGCGUGGGUGAAGAAGGCCUUCGGGUUGUAAAGCCCUGUUGUUGGGAAAGAAAAGAAGCAGGUUAAUACCCCGCUGUUCUGACGGUACCCAAAGAAUAAGCACCGGCUAACUUCGUG
RNAcentral lists this ribosomal RNA (492 nucleotides) under uncultured bacterium. Its description in RNAcentral is "partial 16S ribosomal RNA". It matches the Rfam family "Bacterial small subunit ribosomal RNA", at positions 29 to 507 of the family's 1533-position model. The record is from RNAcentral.